RNAcentral lists this ribosomal RNA (468 nucleotides) under uncultured bacterium. Its description in RNAcentral is "partial 16S ribosomal RNA". It matches the Rfam family "Bacterial small subunit ribosomal RNA", at positions 28 to 507 of the family's 1533-position model. The record is from RNAcentral.
GACGAACGCUGGCGGCGUGCUUAACACAUGCAAGUCGAACGGACAGGCCCUGCUUUUGUGGGGUGCUCGAGUGGCGAACGGGUGAGUAACACGUGAGUAACCUGCCCUUGACUUUGGGAUAACUUCAGGAAACUGGGGCUAAUACCGGAUAGGAGCUCCUGCUGCAUGGUGGGGGUUGGAAAGUUUCGGCGGUUGGGGAUGGACUCGCGGCUUAUCAGCUUGUUGGUGGGGUAGUGGCUUACCAAGGCUUUGACGGGUAGCCGGCCUGAGAGGGUGACCGGCCACAUUGGGACUGAGAUACGGCCCAGACUCCUACGGGAGGCAGCAGUGGGGAAUAUUGCACAAGGGGCGGAAGCCUGAUGCAGCAACGCCGCGUGCGGGAUGACGGCCUUCGGGUUGUAAACCGCUUUCGCCGGGGACGAAGCGUGAGUGACGGUAAUGGGUAAAGAAGCACCGGCUAACUACGGG